RNAcentral lists this long non-coding RNA (1358 nucleotides) under Medicago truncatula (barrel medic). Its description in RNAcentral is "long non-coding RNA (MTRU_LNC008319)". Lineage: Eukaryota; Viridiplantae; Streptophyta; Magnoliopsida; Fabales; Fabaceae. The record is from RNAcentral.
AAUAAAUUAAAAUGAUUAGGGUUAUGAGUUUGACUCUAUAACAAACAAAUGUGGUGUGUAGUUUUUAUUUAAAGACUUUCUCUAUUACUUUUUUUUUUUUUUAUAAGGCAAGGGCACACUGAAAUAGAAAAGAAAUGGAAGACACUCCAACGGAGUUGCGAUGUCUUACAAAUUUUAGUCCUUGUCAGGUGCUCAUAUAUAUUAUUAAAAAAAGGAAAAAGAAAUACAAAUAAAACUGGGGGGACAUAAACCUAACCCAGUAAUCCACACAUAAGUGUAGGUCGACCCAAGCAGGAAAUACAAAAAAAUUAAACAACACAAGUGAUAAGUCUGCUUCUAAUUAAUCCUAAAACUAAUCAAAGGUCAUAAGUGUGGUGAUUGGACCGUCCGUCAACAUGAAAUCAGGUCCAUGUACCAUCAACUCCCUGCAUAUCACACAAAGCUAAAACGCUCUUUCGAGCCCCACAGUCCAAGUCAAAUAGGGAAUGGCGAUUUCCAAUGGUGCUAGAACUCGAUUCAAUUGCCAACACAGUAACAAGUUCGUACACCUACAGUUCACUGUUACCACAACAGUAAAUUUUGAGAGUGGCGAGUGAAUUCGACCGCCAACACGGUAAUUAGCGAAUCCACACGCACCAACAAUUUACUGCAAUCAUUUAGAGCAAAUUAACAGUCAUUUCUGGCCCAACAGGCAUGACAUGGCUACCCACAGGAAAGGCAACAACACUGUCUUUUUGAAUACGUACAAACAGAACCACUAGUGUGAUGGAGGCAACCCAAACGCCUUGAAAUCUGUAGAUCUCAACAGAUCUGGAAGAAUCAUAUAUCAAAGGCAAGAAACAACCACCAACACAGUGUCGCUGACAUCAACCUCUUACGAACAGAGGAGUUUACAAACCAGAACAACGCCAACCCUUUUUGAGAUCCAAAAAGUACCCAAAGCUUGCCGUGACGGAGAAAGGCCGACGACAUCUUCGACAGCCCCCAGAGGGGAAUUGGUGGUCAGAAAAACAACGGAAAGAGACCACCUCGGCACAAUCGACGAUGGUUGGACGACCCAAACGAGUUAACAGCCCUAAAAGGGUGUUAAACGGCAUUGCGGCAGUAAAGGGCUAGUGCACCGCCGCCAUCGAAGCUACUUCGAAACGACGACCUCUCUAUUACUUAAAUUAAACAGACCUUAUAUUUUUUUCUCUCACUAAUAUCUAUAAUGUAAAUAGCUAUAUGUAUAUAUUUUUUUUAAUAACUAUACUAUAUGUAUAUAUAAUUUGAUAAAAAGUAAUUAUAUUUAGGGUUUUUUAGGGUUAAUUAAGUCAAUGGUCACUAAAAUUUUAUUUUUAGUCUCUACAAAAUAAAAG